GAGAUGAGCUCCAGCAGCCGCAGGAGGUGGAUGCCGUCAGCCAGCUCUGUGUACAGGUUCCGGAUCUUGAUGCCCGCCUGGGGAGGGGACAGGGAUUCUUCUUCUCAGAGCCCCUGCUGCCAGGUCCCUCCACCACAGUGACUGGGACAGGUGGAAGGAAGACAGGAAACUGCUUACCUUGGUGAUGCCUGGGUCCCACAGAGACGGCUCUGCUGGACGGAUGGAGAUGGUAGAUAGCAGGGGCUGCUUACCUUGGUGAUGCCUGGGUUCCACAGAGGCGGCCCAGCUGGACGGAUGGAGAUGGCAGAUAGCAGGGGCUGUGGAGG
RNAcentral lists this long non-coding RNA (326 nucleotides) under Homo sapiens (human). RNAcentral's name for it is "HSALNT0219301". Lineage: Eukaryota; Metazoa; Chordata; Mammalia; Primates; Hominidae. The record is from RNAcentral.